GAGCGGCGCGGGGGCGCCCCCCUCGGCCGGGCGCUCGGGUUUCAGCCGCCGCUCCCCCGCGCCCCGCCCGCGCCUGGCCCGCUCGCCGGCGCCGGGAGAGACCUCGUAACGGAACUGGGACGCCAGCGCUGCAUUGUGGGAGCUUUUAAAGCGGCGGGGAGCUCGGCGCGACCCUCGGGCCCACCGGGCCACGCUCGCCCGGCCCGCGACGCCCCCCCGCUGUCGCCUGGCCCGCGACGCACCGAGGCCUGAGGACCCGAAAGCCGGGCGCGGGGAGAUGACCGGUGGCUCGUGACGGUCCCACGGGCAAAAUCUUCCAUCGCCCGGGGCUGAGACUUGUCAAACUGCCCUCUACGGUCACCCGGAAAGUAGGAGGCUUUUUCUGCAGAGGGAAAAAAAUCAAAAAGAGCCGUUCCAUCCCCCCUCCAAGGACUGGGUUUGAAUUGCUUUUCAUCUGCAGUGGCUGUGAUUCAGCGUCCCUCUUAGCAGCAGGCACUGACAGAGGCAGGAGAGGAAAAAAGAAAGAAAGAAAGAGAAAACACAGCAAAUGAAUCAAACGGACGUAGCAGGCAAGAGUGUGGUUAUCGUUGGACCAGGAUUCAGGAUCUGACCGAGUAGCUGACUCUUAAUCCAGUUUGUGUUGAUCACCAGGAGGAUCUGGACCUCAGUGUUAUCACAUCUAAAGCUAUAAUCACAUCCCUGUUAAGCCUUCCUGAGAUCACACCAAAUGUCCUUGAUGGGAAUUGUAAACAACCCUUACUUCUGGUUUCUAAUGAUAUUCCAGGAAAGGAGCCUAACUAGAGUCAGUGAUAUGCCAACUCCACCUUUGCCUUCCACCAUGUUUGGAAGCUCCCUGAGGCCUCACCAGGAGCAGAUGCUCGUCCCAUGCUUCCUAUAAGCCUGCAGAACUGUGAGCCAUAAUAAACUGUGAAUUAUAAAUUGCCUUUAUAGCAAUGCAAAUGGACCAGUACAGAUGGGAUGCUGGGAAGACAGUUGUUCCACCUUCAGUAAAGUCCAUGGAACACAGUUGUGACUAUAUUCUAGGCCAGCCAAGAUGCUUGUACUCAGAAAGGAGUGAUCUCAGGACCAUAAGAAAGUGAAAAAAUAAAAAUAAGAAAACAAAGAAGGGAUUGUCAAUGAAUCAGAAUUCAUCAAGGUCAAAGUCUUAGGAAAUUCCUUCAUGAGGAAGUCUAGGGGGGCUAUGGAAAUGAAAAUUUUUAAACAAAUAGGUAUGUGGUGCUGGCAGGAAUAAAUUAUGGACUUAUGAAUAUAACAUAAGAUUCUUUAUUACCUGGUCUCACCCGUCUUUCCACCUCUGCCCCCCUUCUUGCCCGACUCUGUGUAUCACCCAUAAUAAACUACUUACAGCUUCCUAGUGUUAAAUUUACCCUAAAGCUGCCUCCUUCAAUAUUUUAAGUUUAACCUAAAGGUUCUUCAUACAUAGUGAACUAUAACCCAAUGAUUAAACAGAUUGUAACCUACUCUUGUACCAGUCACCAAGUUUCAGCCAAUCAGAGGUGGCCAACUGUUCAAACCAUGCUCAAAUAAGGGAAAUGUCAUGGUGUAACUAAUCCAGCUGUUUCUAUAUCUUACUUCUGUUUUCUUAGGUCACUUUCCUUUUUCUGUCCAUAAAUUCUCUCCAACCACUCAGCAGCACUGGAGUCACUCCAAAGCUAUCCUGGUUCAGGGGUCUGUCUGAUUCACAAGUCAUUCUUUGUUCAAUUGAGCUCUGCUAAAUUUAAUUUGUCUGAAGUUUUUCUUUUAACAGAUGGUGUCAGAAAUGGACCCCAAAGUAGAGCUCCCAGUGAUCCCCCAGGAGCACUGAGUGACCACAAGGGGUACCUGCUGGGCCCGUCCUCUCGCAGUGUCCACUGCUCUCUUACAGCAACUGGAGAUUGUGGCUACAUUCUCUCUCAGAUUCUGAAGCUCCAUACAUUGCCGUUUUCAGCUGUUCAAGCUUGCUUGAGCAAAUUUUUGAUCUUAGCUGAGUUUGGAAGUCGAUAGACAUUGGACUGGGUCCAGGAUUUGAUUGGAUCUGAUAAUUAACUGGCUUGGAUGCAGUUAGAUGCCUCGGGUAUCUGACUGGGUCAGAUAGAAACCGCCAGUAAAUAUUUUGAUAACAAUACUGCAGGGGUAUGAACUCUGGCUUUAAGAAACUCACAAGGAAUUUUAUGUUCUAUACCCUUUGUUUCUUUUUCUUGUGUGCUUCGGUCAGGAAAAAUCAUUAGUCAAGUUAAUCAAGGGGAUCUGAGAGCCAAAUACAAGAUUCAACGUAAAAAUGGAAUCCUUGGGCUGGGUGUGGUGGCUCAGGCCUGUAAUCCCAGGACUUUGGGAGGCUGAGGCAGGCGGAUCACCUGACCUUAGGAGUUCGAGACCAGUCUGGCCAACAUGGUGAAACCCCGUCUCCACUAAAAAUGCAAAAAUUAGCCAGUCGUGGUGGUGGGCACCUGUAAUCCCAGCUACUUUGGAGGCUGAGGCAGGAUAAUCACUUGAACCCAGGAGGCAGAGGUUGCAGUGAUCUCAGAUUGCGCCACUGCACUCCAGCCUGGGCGAAAGAGCGAGACUCCAUCUCAUAAAUAAAUACAUAAAUAAAUAAAGAAAUCCUUAAUUUCUGCGGAACUGAGUGCUCUACCUUCUGGCUACACCUACAUAUACCUGUAUGAGGUAUAGGCCCUGGAAGCAGCAAACACUUACAGAAAUGGUGAAAUCUUACUAAAGGUAAUCUAAAGUUAUGGUGGAACAUCUCAAAUGAACAACACUGCACUUUAGGAAGUACAUAUAAAAAUGAAGUCUCCCAAUUUAGUAUUAUUCAGGGAUGGCUGUUGAAGUUCAGAAGCUUCUAAAAAGAUUCCAAUAAUUUUAUAGAUUCUUUUAAAAGAUUCUUUGUAAAAGGCAAAUAAAAAGCUUAAGUGACUAAUCAGAAAAAUUAGGUCUUCUAACCUUUUGUCAUUGUUACUGUCUUGCCCUGAAAGGGAAAAGAAAGCUGGAUAAAGUAUUUAUAGAAGAUAGAGGACCUGUGGUGGCUCAUGCCUGUAAUCCAAGGUGGAAGGAUUGCUUGAGGCCAGAAGUUCAAGACCAGUCCAAGCAACAUAGCAAGGCCCCAUCUCUACAAAAAAAUGAAAAUAAAAUUAGCCGAGCGUGAUGGCUCAUGCCUGUAGUUCUAGCUUCCAGAGAGGCUGAGGCAGGAGGAUUGCUUGAGUCCAGGAGUUCAAGAUUACAAUGAGCUAUGGUCACACCACUGCACUCCAGCCUGGGUGAUGGAGUGAGACUGUCUCAAUAAAAAGACAAAAAGGUAAGCCCUUAGGUAAAGUAAGCUUGCUUCUUUGUUAGAGCUAUCCAUGCCGAGUCCAGGCAAAGAAAAUGCUUUCUUUGGCCUGGUGCGGUGGCUCAUGCCUGUAAUCCCAACACUUUUGGAGGCCAAGGUGGGCAGAUCACAAGGUCAAGAGUUCAAGACGAGCCUGACCAACAUGGUGAAGCCCCAUCUCUACUAAAAAUACAAAAAUUAGCCGGGUGUGGUGGUGCGCACCUGUAAUCCCAGCUAUUCAGGAGGCUGAGGCAAGAGAAUCACUUGAACCCAGGAGGCAGAGGUUGCAGUGAGCUGAGAUUGCACCACUGCACUCCCACUCUGGCCUGGGCAAUAGAGCAAGACUCCAUCUCAAAAAAAAAGAAAAAAGAAAUAAAAUGCUUUCUUUGCACAGUUCAGUAAUGAGCUCUGCCCCGAACUCAGUAAUUUUAGCAAAGAAACAGUAGCUAAGUUAAGAAGACCGCCUAUUGAACUAAGUUGGUCUCCAAAAUAUACCUUUCUGGCAUUUAGAUGGCUACUUUGAAACCCUUUUGUAAAUGAAAUUUACAUCUAUAAAGGAAAUCUCCAUCUGUAAGGGCAUCUACACUGAGAAGAGGGUGGACUGGGUCACUAGAAACUCUUACCGCUGAUCUAACAUAAAUCUUACCAUUGUUUAAGGUGCUUUUCCUUGCCAUCUUGUCUUAACUGGGCCUUUACCGACACUUUUCUUCCUUGGUUUAGGGAACCAAUGGUACAGUAUUUAGGCCCGAAGUCUCAGCUCUGUGCUUUUGAGAUAUGAAUUUUUCACCAUGUUCCACCUAAGAGCAUCCCUUUAGAAGUACAAAUUUAGGA
Molecule: long non-coding RNA, 4135 nt
Filed under: Pan troglodytes (chimpanzee)
Lineage: Eukaryota; Metazoa; Chordata; Mammalia; Primates; Hominidae
Description: long non-coding RNA NONPTRT003533
Source: RNAcentral